GUACUUGUUUGGGCAGCACAUACGCUAAAAUUGGAAAGAAACAGACUACCACGUCCCUGCACAGGGAGACAUACAAAUUUAUAAAGUCUUCCAUAAUUCA
RNAcentral lists this small nuclear RNA (100 nucleotides) under Octodon degus (degu). Lineage: Eukaryota; Metazoa; Chordata; Mammalia; Rodentia; Octodontidae. The record is from RNAcentral.